Molecule: unclassified non-coding RNA, 330 nt
Filed under: soil metagenome
Description: partial contains 5.8S ribosomal RNA, internal transcribed spacer 2, and large subunit ribosomal RNA
Rfam family: 5.8S ribosomal RNA (bases 4-121)
Source: RNAcentral
GAUUGAAGAACGUAGCGAAAUGCGAUAAGUAAUGUGAAUUGCAGAAUUCAGUGAAUCAUCGAAUCUUUGAACGCACAUUGCGCCCCUUGGUAUUCCGAGGGGCAUGCCUGUUCGAGCGUCAUUAUAACCCCUCAAGCUCAGCUUGGUGUUGGGGCCUGCUGCACUGGCAGCCCUUAAAAUCAGUGGCGGCGCCAUCUGGCUCUAAGCGUAGUAAUUCUUCUCGCUAUGGAGUCCUGGUGGAUGCUUGCCAUCAACCCCCAAUUUUUCUAUGGUUGACCUCGGAUCAGGUAGGGAUACCCGCUGAACUUAAGCAUAUCAAUAAGCGGAGGA